CGUUGAAACACCGGUUCCCGUACGAUCACAGAAGUUAAGCAACGUCGAGCUUGGUCAGUUAUAAGAUGGGUGACGGCUUGAAUAUACUAGGUGCUGUA
Non-coding RNA from Acanthosepion pharaonis, 98 nucleotides. NCBI's taxonomy places the organism in Eukaryota, Metazoa, Mollusca, Cephalopoda, Sepiida, Sepiidae. The record is from the annotation of a GenBank genome assembly.